Molecule: ribosomal RNA, 504 nt
Filed under: uncultured bacterium
Lineage: Bacteria
Description: bacterial SSU rRNA
Rfam family: Bacterial small subunit ribosomal RNA
Source: RNAcentral
UCCUGGCUCAGGAUGAACGCUGGCGGCGUGCUUAACACAUGCAAGUCGAGCGAGAAGCUCGUGAACGAUUCUCGGAUGAGUGAUCGAGUGGAAAGCGGCGGACGGGUGAGUAACGCGUAGGCAACCUGCCCCAUACAAAGGGAUAGCUACUGGAAACGGUAAUUAAUACCUCAUAACACGGAGAGACCGCAUGAUCUUUCCGUCAAAGAUUUAUCGGUAUGGGAUGGGCCUGCGUCUGAUUAGCUGGUUGGUGGGGUAACGGCCCACCAAGGCGACGAUCAGUAGCCGACCUGAGAGGGUAAACGGCCACAUUGGAACUGAGACACGGUCCAAACUCCUACGGGAGGCAGCAGUGGGGAAUAUUGCACAAUGGGGGGAACCCUUGAUGCAGCAACGCCGCGUGAGCGAAGAAGGCCUUUGGGUCGUAAAGCUCUGUCCUGAAGGAAGAAGGAAGUGACGGUACUUCAGGAGGAACGCCCCGGCUAACUACGUGCCAGCCGCCGC